RNAcentral lists this ribosomal RNA (274 nucleotides) under uncultured bacterium. Its description in RNAcentral is "partial 16S ribosomal RNA". It matches the Rfam family "Bacterial small subunit ribosomal RNA", at positions 523 to 796 of the family's 1533-position model. The record is from RNAcentral.
AUACGGAGGGUCCGAGCGUUAUCCGGAAUCAUUGGGUUUAAAGGGUCCGCAGGCGGUCAAUUAAGUCAGAGGUGAAAGCCCAUCGCUCAACGAUGGAACUGCCUUUGAUACUGGUUGACUUGAGUUAUACGGAAGUAGAUAGAAUAAGUAGUGUAGCGGUGAAAUGCAUAGAUAUUACUUAGAAUACCGAUUGCGAAGGCAGUCUACUACGUAUAUACUGACGCUGAGGGACGAAAGCGUGGGGAGCGAACAGGAUUAGAUAACCCAGUAGUCC